UACGGAGGGGGUUAGCGUUGUUCGGAAUGACUGGGCGUAAAGCGCGCGUAGGCGGAUCAGGAAGUUGGGGGUGAAAUCCCGGGGCUCAACCCCGGAAUGGCCUUCAAAACUCCUGGUCUUGAGUUCGAGAGAGGUGAGUGGAAUUCCGAGUGUAGAGGUGAAAUUCGUAGAUAUUCGGAGGAACACCAGUGGCGAAGGCGGCUCACUGGCUCGACACUGACGCUGAGGUGCGAAAGCGUGGGGAGCAAACAGGA
RNAcentral lists this ribosomal RNA (254 nucleotides) under uncultured bacterium. Its description in RNAcentral is "partial 16S ribosomal RNA". It matches the Rfam family "Bacterial small subunit ribosomal RNA", at positions 524 to 777 of the family's 1533-position model. The record is from RNAcentral.